UUUGAUCAUGGCUCAGAUUGAACGCUGGCGGCAUGCCUUACACAUGCAAGUCGAACGGCAGCGCGGGAGCAAUCCUGGCGGCGAGUGGCGAACGGGUGAGUAAUACAUCGGAACGUGCCCAAUCGUGGGGGAUAACGCAGCGAAAGCUGUGCUAAUACCGCAUACGAUCUACGGAUGAAAGCAGGGGAUCGCAGGACCUUGCGCGAAUGGAGCGGCCGAUGGCAGAUUAGGUAGUUGGUGAGGUAAAGGCUCACCAAGCCUUCGAUCUGUAGCUGGUCUGAGAGGACGACCAGCCACACUGGGACUGAGACACGGCCCAGACUCCUACGGGAGGCAGCAGUGGGGAAUUUUGGACAAUGGGCGCAAGCCUGAUCCAGCCAUGCCGCGUGCAGGAUGAAGGCCUUCGGGUUGUAAACUGCUUUUGUACGGAACGAAACGGUCUUUUCUAAUAAAGAAGGCUAAUGACGGUACCGUAAGAAUAAGCACCGGCUAACUACGUGCCAGCAGCCGCGGUAAUACGUAGGGUGCAAGCGUUAAUCGGAAUUACUGGGCGUAAAGCGUGCGCAGGCGGUAAUGUAAGACAGUUGU
RNAcentral lists this ribosomal RNA (588 nucleotides) under Variovorax sp. enrichment culture. RNAcentral describes it as "bacterial SSU rRNA". It matches the Rfam family "Bacterial small subunit ribosomal RNA", at positions 12 to 595 of the family's 1533-position model. The record is from RNAcentral. Lineage: Bacteria; Pseudomonadati; Pseudomonadota; Betaproteobacteria; Burkholderiales; Comamonadaceae.